AUUUUAUUUACUUUUCUCUAUAUUUUUAUUUUGAUGAAAAAGCUUUUGAAUUCAAAGUAAAUUUUUAGUUUAACCUUUAGAAAAAAUAAAUCUUUAGAAAGUGUUUAGUAUUAUACAGUUUCAUAUUAAAUUAAACGUUGUUAAUAGUAAACAUAAUUUUAGAUUUUGAGUUGAAAGUUUUUUAUAUUGCUAAAUAUGUAUUUUAAAUCUAAUAGAACGGCAAUUUCAAUUUUUAAAAUUGAAAUUGCAUUGUAAAUAUACCCUAACAUCGAAAUUGACAAAUGUUUUAUUUUU
RNAcentral lists this unclassified non-coding RNA (294 nucleotides) under Borreliella afzelii. RNAcentral describes it as "partial 16S-23S ribosomal RNA intergenic spacer". Lineage: Bacteria; Pseudomonadati; Spirochaetota; Spirochaetia; Spirochaetales; Borreliaceae. The record is from RNAcentral.